GUCAAAGUAGCUCAGUGGUAGAGCACUUGCCUGGCAUGCAUGAGGCCCUGGGUUCAAUUCCUCAGCAUCACA
Molecule: non-coding RNA, 72 nt
Organism: Dipodomys ordii (Ord's kangaroo rat)
Lineage: Eukaryota; Metazoa; Chordata; Mammalia; Rodentia; Heteromyidae
Source: Rfam